Molecule: transfer RNA, 75 nt
Filed under: Microbacterium azadirachtae
Lineage: Bacteria; Bacillati; Actinomycetota; Actinomycetes; Micrococcales; Microbacteriaceae
Description: tRNA-Ala
Rfam family: tRNA
About the family: Transfer RNA (tRNA) molecules are approximately 80 nucleotides in length. Their secondary structure includes four short double-helical elements and three loops (D, anti-codon, and T loops). Further hydrogen bonds mediate the characteristic L-shaped molecular structure. tRNAs have two regions of fundamental functional importance: the anti-codon, which is responsible for specific mRNA codon recognition, and the 3' end, to which the tRNAs corresponding amino acid is attached (by aminoacyl-tRNA synthetases). tRNAs cope with the degeneracy of the genetic code in two manners: having more than one tRNA (with a specific anti-codon) for a particular amino acid; and 'wobble' base-pairing, i.e. permitting non-standard base-pairing at the 3rd anti-codon position.
Source: RNAcentral
GGGCCCAUGGCGCAGUUGGUAGCGCGCUUCGUUCGCAAUGAAGAGGUCGGGGGUUCGAAUCCCCCUGGGUCCACC